CUGGAGUUCCCCUGAAUGCUUCAGUAUUGGGUUUAUUCUUUCUAGCCAUAUUACUGAAGUGUUUGGGGGAACUCCCGGUGCCAAUUGACUGAGAUCAUUGCCGGAAAACGUUGUCAUUGUGGUCCCCUAUCUCUUUCUUUAUUGUUCGUCAUGUUAUCCUCAUAAACAAUGAUUUCCUUCAAUAUUCGUUGAUAAUUUUAAUUGCGGCCUUUUUUUUUUUUUUUUUUGGGCUACGAAUUCUAAAAUUACUUACAUUUUUCUACCUCCGCGAAGUUGGGGACAUCUAAUUUUAGAUUGUCCACAAUAUAUAUAUAUUGUGAAUAAUUUUUCCGCAAUGUGCUAAGCAGCAUUAAUGGUUUUUUUUUUUUUUUUUCAAUUAGCAAUACAUAUUUUUUCUUUUUCAUUUUCGUUUCCAUAGUCAUAAAUACCCUUCAUAUAUAAUUUUAUUUCUAUGUAUUUAGAUAUUAUUUCUUUUGUAAUUUGGAAAAACAUAAGGGCUAAUAACGUCUUUUUGGCCAUGCCCUUUAUUUCCCAAAGGCAGCAUACAAUGCGAUUUGGAGGAUGAUAUUUCCUCCAUUGUCGAUCUUCUUCUUCAGUAGGAUACAGCUUUUCUUCAGCAAUAUCCUGCUCCAACUCUGCAGUCCUGCCACUUCAACUCCGUAUAAGGUCGCCAGAGUGAGUCAAAAUAGAGAAAAGUAUUACCUCUAUCUUGAUCCUCUCUGUGUGUGGUUUUAGGUAGCAUUGACAUGCUCAUUCCGUACCCCCAUCAACAUAACAGACAUUCUUGUGCGCAAUAUACACGAAGCCAUAUGCCUUUAACUUACCUUUUCUACAAUUUGUGUAUUUAUUGUGCAUAUAUAUAUAUAUAUAUAUAUAUAUAAGUAUGUGUGUGUAAAAGAAUAGGAAGUUGGAAAUUCCAUUAGACACAACUUGCGUUGAAUUAGCAUCCGCUUUUUGAGAAUAUCAGGAGCAUCACCCACUUCUUGUACAGUCUGUAAAUAUACAAUCUGAAUGUUACUUAAACAACCAUGCCGACCUAUUAUCUUUGUGGAUUAAUCUAUAUUUAAAGGUUUGCUUCUCU
This is a long non-coding RNA of Ziziphus jujuba (common jujube), 1081 nucleotides long. RefSeq lists it as uncharacterized. The transcript is spliced from 2 exons. The record is from RefSeq and is a predicted model, not a curated record. NCBI's taxonomy places the organism in Eukaryota, Viridiplantae, Streptophyta, Magnoliopsida, Rosales, Rhamnaceae.